This 207-nucleotide long non-coding RNA is filed under the name Pan troglodytes (chimpanzee). RNAcentral's name for it is "long non-coding RNA NONPTRT000283". Lineage: Eukaryota; Metazoa; Chordata; Mammalia; Primates; Hominidae. The record is from RNAcentral.
GCACAACCUUUCAGUCAUAUAUACAAAGCUACAAGAAAUGAACAAAGCCACUGUGACCUGUGGGAAAAUGUCAAGUGGUCUAAGAUACAUAUAAUUGGCAUUUAGGAUAUAUGAGACAGAUCUCUGGUGAAUCUUUCCUGGGCAUUUUUCUGCUAAAGCUUUGGCUAACUUUCUCAAAGCACUCUCAUAAUAAGCAGAUGUUAUCGU